Molecule: transfer RNA, 68 nt
Filed under: Glyptelasma annandalei
Lineage: Eukaryota; Metazoa; Arthropoda; Thecostraca; Poecilasmatidae
Description: tRNA-Trp
Source: RNAcentral
AAUGUUUUAAGUUAAGAUAAACCUUAGACCUUCAAAGUCUAUAAUGAAUUAAUAAAAUUCAAACAUUA